UACAGGGGGGGCGAGCGUUGUUCGGAAUUACUGGGCGUAAAGGGUUCGUAGGUGGCCGACUAAGUCAGACGUGAAAUCCCUCAGCUUAACUGGGGAACUGCGUCUGAUACUGGCCGGCUUGAGUGCGGGAGAGGAACGCGGAAUUCCAGGUGUAGCGGUGAAAUGCGUAGAUAUCUGGAGGAACACCGGUGGCGAAGGCGGCGUUCUGGACUGCAACUGACACUGAGGAACGAAAGCCAGGGGAGCAAACGGG
Molecule: ribosomal RNA, 253 nt
Filed under: uncultured bacterium
Lineage: Bacteria
Description: partial 16S ribosomal RNA
Rfam family: Bacterial small subunit ribosomal RNA
Source: RNAcentral